This 393-nucleotide long non-coding RNA is filed under the name Felis catus (domestic cat). RNAcentral's name for it is "lncRNA (ENSFCAG00000053397.1)". The record is from RNAcentral. Lineage: Eukaryota; Metazoa; Chordata; Mammalia; Carnivora; Felidae.
GGAAAACUAGAUCACAGAGCCCUGGGGAAGGGCUGUGCUUGGCACAGAAAAGAAGUGAUCCUGUCAGCAGGCAGGAGAGAGGGACAUGGGUUCAGCACCCAGCAGCUCAGACGACAGCUCCUGAACAGAGCGAGGGGGCCAAGAGCACGCCUCACAUCAAGGGCACCUGGAUGCGAGAGGUGCAAGGAGAAGAAACGAGACUCAGGUUAAGUGACUUGCCCACGGUCACCCAGCUGUCGACUCCAGAUUUAAUCUGGAAAGCCACAGAAAAUCACCGCAGGCAGGUUUGCAGCCUGGGGCAGGACAGAGAGAAAGCAGCCUCGGGUGGGCAGAGGUAAGUAGCUUGUGCUGCAGAAGGCCGGGGAGGGGGGUGGGUUGGAGAGUCUAUGUGGG